Molecule: non-coding RNA, 74 nt
Organism: Entomophthora muscae
Lineage: Eukaryota; Fungi; Entomophthoromycota; Entomophthoromycetes; Entomophthorales; Entomophthoraceae
Source: the annotation of a GenBank genome assembly
GCUUGUGUAGCGCAAUUGGCUAGCGCGUAAAUCUGUUAAUCUUGAGGUUGCUGGGCCGAUUCCAGCCAUGAGCG